UCACCCAUUGGGAAGAUAU
This 19-nucleotide small nuclear RNA is filed under the name Arabidopsis thaliana (thale cress). RNAcentral's name for it is "snRNA_01884". The record is from RNAcentral. Lineage: Eukaryota; Viridiplantae; Streptophyta; Magnoliopsida; Brassicales; Brassicaceae.